This 329-nucleotide long non-coding RNA is filed under the name Cottoperca gobio. RNAcentral's name for it is "lncRNA (ENSCGOG00000001960.1)". Lineage: Eukaryota; Metazoa; Chordata; Actinopteri; Perciformes; Bovichtidae. The record is from RNAcentral.
CUUUGGCAGGACGCUGGUCUCCUGAGUGUUCUGCCUGUACUUGGUGGUGAGGGGUUUUGAAGCAAAAUGACCCAUUGUCUCUCCCAUCCUGCCUCUGAGCCUGAGCAGUGAAACGAUGCCUCUGGAUGCCCGCCCAGGAUGAGCUACCAUUAAGUACAGAAUAAGCUUCUGCUUUACCCUUCAUGGACAGUUAUCAAUAAGACGGAAAAGGUCAGGACAUUAGGAUGGAAGUGGUAUUCCAUGGAUCAGACUGUGCAGGGGAUAUCUAGAGAGGGCACAGGAGACCUUCAGGAUGGGAAAUGCAUGUACAACUUUUCCAGACUCUAGUU